Long non-coding RNA from Pezoporus occidentalis (night parrot), 373 nucleotides. RefSeq lists it as uncharacterized. The transcript has 3 exons. Lineage: Eukaryota; Metazoa; Chordata; Aves; Psittaciformes; Psittacidae. The record is from RefSeq and is a predicted model, not a curated record.
UACAAGGCUGGAGUUUCCAUAUUGCUGCUGUAAUUUAACGUAUUCCGAGAGGCAUGAGCCAUGAACAUAGGUAGAACAUCAAGAAAUAUCAGAUCAUAAGCAAGAAAUUUGAAUGGAAGCUAAGCUCCAAUGCAUUGGAAUAAAAAAAAAGUUUUGAUAGAAGGAAAUCUGAUGAUUUUUAGCUGGUGCAUUGGUCAGAACUGCUCUGCACAUGGUGAAUUAUCACUGGAUUACAACUGACGCCGAACACAAAUGGAAUUCAGCCACGUUCCUACUUGAAACAGCAGGCCUGAGAAGACUUCCUAAAUAAAAGGUUGGGAAAGUGACUGUUGAUUGGUGGUGCUAGGGAAUUCUUCAGUAACACCAUGGGCAG